RNAcentral lists this ribosomal RNA (728 nucleotides) under Helvella oroarctica. RNAcentral describes it as "Helvella sp. IS-2023e partial large subunit ribosomal RNA". It matches the Rfam family "Eukaryotic large subunit ribosomal RNA", at positions 65 to 804 of the family's 3401-position model. The record is from RNAcentral. Lineage: Eukaryota; Fungi; Ascomycota; Pezizomycetes; Pezizales; Helvellaceae.
CCAACAGGGAUUGCCCCAGUAACGGCGAGUGAAGCGGCAGGAGCUCAAAUUUGAAAUCUGGGGUCCUCGACCUCCGAGUUGUAAUUUGGAGAGGCAUCUUCGGGGGGGAGCGCCGGCCCAUGUUCCUUGGAACAGGACGUCGCAGAGGGUGAGAAUCCCGUGCCAGGCCGGCCGCCUCCUCCCGGGUGAAGGGCCUUCGACGAGUCGAGUUGUUUGGGAAUGCAGCUCCAAGUGGGUGGUAAAUUUCAUCUAAAGCUAAAUACCGGCGGGAGACCGAUAGCGCACAAGUAGAGUGAUCGAAAGAUGAAAAGCACUUUGAAAAUAGAGUCAAAAAGUACGUGAAAUUGUUGAAAGGGAAGCGCUUGAGACCAGACUCAGGCCCGGGCAAACAUCGCGCCCCCCGGGGCCGUGCAAUUGCCUGGGGCUGGGCCAGCAUCAGUUGGCGUGGCGGGACAAAGGCGCGGGGAAUGUGGCUCCCCUCGGGGAGUGUUAUUAGGCCCGCGCUCAAUGCCGCCGACGCCGACUGAGGACCGCGCCUCGGCUAGGAUGCUGGCUUAAUGGCCUUCAGCGACCCGUCUUGAAACACGGACCAAGGAGUCUAACAUCUAUGCGAGUGUUUGGGCGCCAAACCCUUGCGCGGAAUGAAAGUGAGCGGAGGUGGGAACCCCCCAGCGGGGCGCACCAUCGACCGAUCCUGAUGUCUUCGGAUGGAUUUGAGUAGGAGCAUA